This 265-nucleotide ribosomal RNA is filed under the name uncultured anaerobic ammonium-oxidizing bacterium. RNAcentral describes it as "partial 16S ribosomal RNA". It matches the Rfam family "Bacterial small subunit ribosomal RNA", at positions 565 to 828 of the family's 1533-position model. The record is from RNAcentral.
GAGCACGUAGGUGGGUUUGUAAGUCAGAUGUGAAAGCCUUCUGUUCAAUGGAAGAACUGCAUCUGAAACUGCGAGUCUUGAGUGUGGGAGGGGAGAAUGGAACUUCUGAUGGAGCGGUGAAAUGCGUAGAUAUCAGAAGGAACGCCGGCGGCGAAAGCGAUUCUCUGGCCUAUUACUGACACUCAGUGUGCGAAAGCUAGGGGAGCAAACGGGAUUAGAUACCCCGGUAGUCCUAGCCGUAAACGAUGGGCACUAAGUAGAGGGG